GACGAACGCUGGCGGCGUGCUUAACACAUGCAAGUCGAACGGAAAGGCCCUGCUUGCAGGGUACUCGAGUGGCGAACGGGUGAGUAACACGUGGGUGAUCUGCCCUGCACUUCGGGAUAAGCCUGGGAAACUGGGUCUAAUACCGGAUAGGAGCCAUUUUUAGUGUGAUGGUUGGAAAGUUUUUUCGGUGUAGGAUGAGCUGGCGGCCUAUCAGCUUGUUGGUGGGGUAAUGGCCUACCAAGGCGGCGACGGGUAGCCGGCCUGAGAGGGUGGGCGGCCACAUUGGGACUGAGAGGAGGCCCAGGCAGCGAAGGGAGGGAGCAGGGGGGAAGAUUGCAGGAUGGGCGCAAGGCUGGUGCAGCGGGGCCGCGGGGGGGAUGACGGCGUUAGGGUUGUAAACUCAUUUCGCUAGGGACGAAGCUUUUUGUGACGGUACCUAGACAGGAAGCACCGGCUAACUACGUG
Molecule: ribosomal RNA, 465 nt
Filed under: uncultured bacterium
Lineage: Bacteria
Description: partial 16S ribosomal RNA
Rfam family: Bacterial small subunit ribosomal RNA
Source: RNAcentral